GACGAACGCUGGCGGCGUGCUUAACACAUGCAAGUCGAACGGAAAGGCCCUGCAUUUGUGGGGUGCUCGAGUGGCGAACGGGUGAGUAACACGUGAGUAGCCUGCCCUUGACUUUGGGAUAACUUCAGGAAACUGGGGCUAAUAACGGAUAGGAGCUCCUGCUGCAUGGUGGGGGUUGGAAAGUUUCGGCGGUUGGGGAUGGACUCGCGGCUUAUCAGCUUGUUGGUGGGGUAGUGGCUUACCACGGCUUUGACGGGUAGCCGGCCUGAGAGGGUGACCGGCCACAUUGGGACUGAGAUACGGCCCAGACGCCUACGGGAGGCAGCAGUGGGGAAUAUUGCACAAUGGGGGGAAGCCUGAUGCAGCAACGCCGCGUGCGGGAUGACGGCCUUCGUGUUGUAAACCGCUUUCGCCUGUGACGAAGCGUGAGUGACGGUAAUGGGUAAAGAAGCACCGGCUAACUACGUG
Molecule: ribosomal RNA, 468 nt
Filed under: uncultured bacterium
Lineage: Bacteria
Description: partial 16S ribosomal RNA
Rfam family: Bacterial small subunit ribosomal RNA
Source: RNAcentral